This 253-nucleotide ribosomal RNA is filed under the name uncultured bacterium. RNAcentral's name for it is "partial 16S ribosomal RNA". It matches the Rfam family "Bacterial small subunit ribosomal RNA", at positions 524 to 776 of the family's 1533-position model. The record is from RNAcentral.
UACAGAGGGUGCGAGCGUUAAUCGGAAUUACUGGGCGUAAAGCGCACGUAGGUGGCGACGUAAGUCGGGUGUGAAAGCCCCGGGCUCAACCUGGGAAUUGCAUUCGAGACUGCAUUGCUGGAGUACGGAAGAGGAGGGCGGAAUUCCCGGUGUAGCGGUGAAAUGCGCAGAUAUCAGGAGGAACACCCGUGGCUAAGGCGGCUCUCUAGUACGGUACUGACGCUGAGACGCGAAAGCGUGGGGAGCGAACAGG